Molecule: ribosomal RNA, 468 nt
Filed under: uncultured bacterium
Lineage: Bacteria
Description: partial 16S ribosomal RNA
Rfam family: Bacterial small subunit ribosomal RNA
Source: RNAcentral
GACGAACGCUGGCGGCGUGCUUAACACAUGCAAGUCGAACGGAAAGGCCCUGCUUUUGUGGGGGGCUCGAGUGGCGAACGGGUGAGUAACACGUGAGUAACCUGCCCUUGACUUUGGGAUAACUUCAGGAAACUGGGGCUAAUACCGGAUAGGAGCUCCUGCUGCAUGGUGGGGGUUGGAAAGUUUCGGCGGUUGGGGAUGGACUCGCGGCUUAUCAGCUUGUUGGUGGGGUAGUGGCUUACCAAGGCUUUGACGGGUAGCCGGCCUGAGAGGGUGACCGGCCACAUUGGGACUGAGAUACGGCCCAGACUCAUACGGAAGGCAGCAGUGGGGAAUAUUGCACAAUGGGCGGAAGCCUGAUGCAGCAACGCCGCGUGCGGGAUGACGGCCUUCGGGUUGUAAACCGCUUUCGCCUGUGACGAAGCGUGAGUGACGGUAAUGGGUAAAGAAGCACCGGCUAACUACGUG